This 92-nucleotide transfer RNA is filed under the name Caballeronia humi. RNAcentral's name for it is "tRNA-Ser". Lineage: Bacteria; Pseudomonadati; Pseudomonadota; Betaproteobacteria; Burkholderiales; Burkholderiaceae. The record is from RNAcentral.
GCGUCGGCUGCUCGAUCAGGUCGAUGCCUGCCGCUUCGAGUGCGGCGAUGCCGGUCGCGGCAUCCGCUUCGUUCCACGCCUGGUUGACGUCC